Molecule: ribosomal RNA, 777 nt
Filed under: uncultured bacterium
Lineage: Bacteria
Description: bacterial SSU rRNA
Rfam family: Bacterial small subunit ribosomal RNA
Source: RNAcentral
GAGUUUGAUCCUGGCUCAGGAUGAACGCUAGCGGCAGGCCUAAUACAUGCAAGUCGAGGGGUAAGGCUCAUUUCGGUGAGUACACGACCGGCGCACGGGUGAGUAACGCGUAUGCAACCUACCUUUAACAGGGGGAUAGCCCCGAGAAAUCGGGAUUAACACCCCAUAAUACUAUAAAGUGGCAUCACUUAAUAGUUAAAACUCUGGUGGUUAAAGAUGGGCAUGCGUGACAUUAGCUGGUUGGUGAGGUAACGGCUCACCAAGGCUACGAUGUCUAGGGGUUCUGAGAGGAUGAUCCCCCACACUGGUACUGAGACACGGACCAGACUCCUACGGGAGGCAGCAGUAAGGAAUAUUGGUCAAUGGACGCAAGUCUGAACCAGCCAUGCCGCGUGCAGGAAGACAGCCUUAUGGGUUGUAAACUGCUUUUAUACAGGAAUAAACCAUCCUACUUGUAGGGUGCUGAAGGUACUGUAAGAAUAAGCACCGGCUAACUCCGUGCCAGCAGCCGCGGUAAUACGGAGGGUGCAAGCGUUAUCCGGAUUUAUUGGGUUUAAAGGGUGCGCAGGCGGACCUAUCAGUCAGUGGUGAAAUCCCGAGGCUCAACCUCGGAACUGCCAUUGAUACCGUAGGUCUUGAGUUUGGUUGAAGUGGGCGGAAUGUAGCAUGUAGCGGUGAAAUGCAUAGAUAUGCUACAGAACACCGAUCGCGAAGGCAGCUCACUAAACCAAAACUGACGCUCAGGCACGAAAGCGUGGGUAGCGAACAGGAUUAGAU